This 57-nucleotide transfer RNA is filed under the name Dipodomys ordii (Ord's kangaroo rat). It matches the Rfam family "tRNA", at positions 1 to 56 of the family's 71-position model. From Rfam's summary of the family: Transfer RNA (tRNA) molecules are approximately 80 nucleotides in length. Their secondary structure includes four short double-helical elements and three loops (D, anti-codon, and T loops). Lineage: Eukaryota; Metazoa; Chordata; Mammalia; Rodentia; Heteromyidae. The record is from Rfam by way of RNAcentral.
GGGAAGGUGACUCAGUGGUAGAGUGCUUGCUUUGCAUGCAUGAGGCCCUGGGUUCUA